RNAcentral lists this ribosomal RNA (253 nucleotides) under uncultured bacterium. Its description in RNAcentral is "partial 16S ribosomal RNA". It matches the Rfam family "Bacterial small subunit ribosomal RNA", at positions 524 to 776 of the family's 1533-position model. The record is from RNAcentral.
UACGUAGGGGGCAAGCGUUGUCCGGAAUUAUUGGGCGUAAAGCGCGUGUAGGCGGCUUUGCAAGUCGGGUGUGAAAUCCCUCAGCUUAACUGAGGAAGUGCGCCCGAAACUGCCGAGCUUGAGUACCGGAGAGGGUGGCGGAAUUCCCCAAGUAGAGGUGAAAUUCGUAGAUAUGGGGAGGAACACCGGUGGCGAAGGCGGCCACCUGGACGGAUACUGACGCUGAGGAGCGAAAGCCAGGGGAGCAAACGGG